RNAcentral lists this long non-coding RNA (837 nucleotides) under Nicotiana benthamiana. Its description in RNAcentral is "long non-coding RNA (NBEN_LNC022252)". The record is from RNAcentral. Lineage: Eukaryota; Viridiplantae; Streptophyta; Magnoliopsida; Solanales; Solanaceae.
UGAUCCACCAUUAAUAACAUUGAAGGACAGAACUGCCAACACUACCUUGGUCUUACCAGCCAAAUCUGAAACUUGCUGCACAACAAAGAGGAAAUUUGAAAUAAGCACAUAUAUGAUUGCAGAUUACUCGACUUGGAAAUUUAGCCCUAGUUUCAGCUAGUAUUGACGAACAGGUAAUCUAAAGUGCUUAAUGUUAUAAACUGGUCAUAGGUACAUGAACAAUUUGGAAUAUAAGAUAGUUACAUAAAUGCAAACGACAAAAAUUACAAAAGUCGUGCUCUUAGUCAAUGGAUUAAACAGUUGAUGAGAUUUUAUUUCAUGGAGAGUACCUCAACUGAAGGUGUACUUAAAGGGCUGGAGCUGUUGUUUGCGCUUUGUGCUCUCGAUGAGGAUGGUAAGUUAACCAAAGUGGGUGAGAAUAUUGCUGAGUUUUCCAUAGAUCGCAUGCUUGGUGUUUGUUAAAAUAAGAAUUCCUGUUCUGAGAUAAUAAGUAUUGCUGAAAUUAUUUCUGUGGGAAAUUCAGUGCUUAAUCAUCAAAGGACAGAGAAAUCAAAGCUGUCAAUUUCACCAAUUAGAAGUAAAUAAUACAACAAAUGAAAUUGAGCGGUAUAAACUUACGUUUAAAUAGAACUCAGAUACAUAGUCGAGGCAGAUAAAUGGUAUGCCUGCAUUGCAAGGUUGUUUCGGCAUGUGAUCGACUAUUAAUAACUUUGAAGGCAGCAACUUCGAACAACAACUUCUUGUUAGCAGCCUUAUAACCAAUGUGAUUUUAAAAAAAUAGAAAAUUUAAAAUAAGGAAACAUUUUAGUAGUAAUAGACUCUCUGAUUAGAGUUGUC